Molecule: ribosomal RNA, 491 nt
Filed under: uncultured bacterium
Lineage: Bacteria
Description: partial 16S ribosomal RNA
Rfam family: Bacterial small subunit ribosomal RNA
Source: RNAcentral
GAUGAACGCUGGCUACAGGCUUAACACAUGCAAGUCGAGGGGAAACGACGGGGAAGCUUGCUUCUCCGGGCGUCGACCGGCGCACGGGUGAGUAACGCGUAUCCAACCUGCCUCUGACUGAGGGAUAACCCGUCGAAAGUCGGCCUAAUACCCCUUGGUAUCGCCUGCGGGCAUCCAACGACGAUGAAAGUUUUCAUCGGUCAGGGGUGGAGAUGCGUCUGAUUAGCUUGUUGGCAAGGUAACGGCCCACCAAGGCUACGAUCAGUAGGGGUUCGGAGUGGAAGGUCCCCCACAUUGGAACUGAGACACGGACCAAAAUGCGACGGGAGGGAGCGGUGAGGAAGAUUAGUCGAUGGAGGAGGACCUGAACCAGCCGAGUAGCGUGCAGAAAGACGGGCCUAUGGGAUGUAAACUGCUUUUAUGCGGGGAUAACGUGAGGGACGUGUCCCUCAUUGCAGGUACCGAAUGAAUAAGGACCGGCUAAUUCCGUG